RNAcentral lists this ribosomal RNA (574 nucleotides) under uncultured bacterium. RNAcentral describes it as "partial 16S ribosomal RNA". It matches the Rfam family "Bacterial small subunit ribosomal RNA", at positions 355 to 919 of the family's 1533-position model. The record is from RNAcentral.
UGGGGAAUUUUGGACAAUGGGCGAAAGCCUGAUCCAGCAAUGCCGCGUGUGUGAAGAAGGCCUUCGGGUUGUAAAGCACUUUUGUCCGGAAAGAAAUCCUUGGCUCUAAUACAGUCGGGGGAUGACGGUACCGGAAGAAUAAGCACCGGCUAACUACGUGCCAGCAGCCGCGGUAAUACGUAGGGUGCAAGCGUUAAUCGGAAUUACUGGGCGUAAAGCGUGCGCAGGCGGUUUGCUAAGACCGAUGUGAAAUCCCCGGGCUCAACCUGGGAACUGCAUUGGUGACUGGCAGGCUAGAGUAUGGCAGAGGGGGGUAGAAUUCCACGUGUAGCAGUGAAAUGCGUAGAGAUGUGGAGGAAUACCGAUGGCGAAGGCAGCCCCCUGGGGCCAAUACUGACGCUCAUGCACGAAAGCGUGGGGAGCAAACAGGAUUCAGAUACCCUGGUAGUCCACGCCCUAAACGAUGUCAACUAGUUGUUGGGGAUUCAUUUUCCUUAGUAACGUAGCUAACGCGUGAAGUUGACCGCCUGGGGAGUACGGUCGCAAGAUUAAAACUUAAAUGAAUUGACGGGGU